ACUCCUGCGGGAGGCAGCAGUGGGGAAUAUUGGACAAUGGGCGCAAGCCUGAUCCAGCCAUGCCGCGUGAGUGAUGAAGGCCCUAGGGUUGUAAAGCUCUUUCACCGGUGAAGAUAAUGACGGUAACCGGAGAAGAAGCCCCGGCUAACUUCGUGCCAGCAGCCGCGGUAAUACGAAGGGGGCUAGCGUUGUUCGGAUUUACUGGGCGUAAAGCGCACGUAGGCGGACUAUUAAGUCAGGGGUGAAAUCCCGGGGCUCAACCCCGGAACUGCCUUUGAUACUGGUAGUCUUGAGUUCGAGAGAGGUGAGUGGAAUUCCGAGUGGAGAGGUGAAAUUCGUAGAUAUUCGGAGGAACACCAGUGGCGAAGGCGGCUCACUGGCUCGAUACUGACGCUGAGGUGCGAAAGCGUGGGGAGCAAACAGGAUUAGAAACCCGAGUAGUCCC
RNAcentral lists this ribosomal RNA (445 nucleotides) under uncultured organism. Its description in RNAcentral is "partial 16S ribosomal RNA". It matches the Rfam family "Bacterial small subunit ribosomal RNA", at positions 335 to 797 of the family's 1533-position model. The record is from RNAcentral.